GCUCCAGUGGCCUAAUGGAUAAGGCACCGGGCUUCUAAGCCGGGGAUUGUGGGUUCGAUCCCCACCUGGAGUA
This is a transfer RNA of Drosophila willistoni, 73 nucleotides long. It matches the Rfam family "tRNA". Rfam says of the family: Transfer RNA (tRNA) molecules are approximately 80 nucleotides in length. The record is from Rfam. Lineage: Eukaryota; Metazoa; Arthropoda; Insecta; Diptera; Drosophilidae.